This 250-nucleotide ribosomal RNA is filed under the name uncultured prokaryote. RNAcentral describes it as "partial 16S ribosomal RNA". It matches the Rfam family "Bacterial small subunit ribosomal RNA", at positions 524 to 773 of the family's 1533-position model. The record is from RNAcentral.
UACGAAGGGUGCGAGCGUUGUUCGGAAUUACUGGGCGUAAAGGGUGUGUAGGCGGAUUAUUAAGAUAGCGGUGAAAUGCCUGGGCUUAACCGAGGAAUUGCCGUUAUGACUAAUGAUCUAGAGUGACAGAGAGGAUACUGGAAUACCCAGUGUAGAGGUGAAAUUCGUAGAUAUUGGGUAGAACACCGGUGGCGAAGGCGAGUAUCUGGCUGUAGACUGACGCUGAGGCACGAAAGCAUGGGGAUCAAAC